Molecule: ribosomal RNA, 929 nt
Filed under: Trichoderma koningiopsis
Lineage: Eukaryota; Fungi; Ascomycota; Sordariomycetes; Hypocreales; Hypocreaceae
Description: eukaryotic LSU rRNA
Rfam family: 5.8S ribosomal RNA (bases 166-319)
Source: RNAcentral
AACCCAUGUGAACCAUACCAAACUGUUGCCUCGGCGGGGUCACGCCCCGGGUGCGUCGCAGCCCCGGAACCAGGCGCCCGCCGGAGGGACCAACCAAACUCUUUCUGUAGUCCCCUCGCGGACGUUAUUUCUUACAGCUCUGAGCAAAAAUUCAAAAUGAAUCAAAACUUUCAACAACGGAUCUCUUGGUUCUGGCAUCGAUGAAGAACGCAGCGAAAUGCGAUAAGUAAUGUGAAUUGCAGAAUUCAGUGAAUCAUCGAAUCUUUGAACGCACAUUGCGCCCGCCAGUAUUCUGGCGGGCAUGCCUGUCCGAGCGUCAUUUCAACCCUCGAACCCCUCCGGGGGGUCGGCGUUGGGGAUCGGGAACCCCUAAGACGGGAUCCCGGCCCCGAAAUACAGUGGCGGUCUCGCCGCAGCCUCUCCUGCGCAGUAGUUUGCACAACUCGCACCGGGAGCGCGGCGCGUCCACGUCCGUAAAACACCCAACUUCUGAAAUGUUGACCUCGGAUCAGGUAGGAAUACCCGCUGAACUUAAGCAUAUCAAANNGGGGAGGGGAAAUNNUACCAAGUUUACAAACUCCAAAACAAUGUUCAACCCUCCAACUGUAGCCCCGUGGUGGCAUCCCUGGUGUCUCCAUCCCGGAACAGGCACCGCCGGAGGGACCACAAACUCUAUCUGUAGUCCUGAGGACGUUAUUUCUUACAGCUCUGAUCAAAAAUUCAAAAGAAAUCACAACUCUUCAAGAGNNAACUUCGUGGUUCUCGCCUCACUCAAAGAACACACGAAAUCGCGAGAGAGUAUGUGUGAUUGAAAAGUUCAUUGUAAUCAUCUACAUCUAUGAACGCACAUUGUCCCCGCCCUUAUCUUGGACGGGNAUGUCUGAUCGCUAGCGCCUUUUACCACGCGCAACCUUCGGGGGCUUCGUUGU